Gallus gallus (chicken) is the source of this 653-nucleotide long non-coding RNA. The record is from Ensembl. Lineage: Eukaryota; Metazoa; Chordata; Aves; Galliformes; Phasianidae.
AGGCUAUUUACAAAGGCAUUUAAAGUCUCUAUGCUGGCACAUUGGGUUUAAAGAUGGUACUACAGAUAGGGCCUGGAGCAAGUGCAAUGUGCUGUCCAUAGGGACUACCAGACUCAAGCUGCUGGCAGUGAUGGUGUUUGCUGGAGAAUCCUGAUGCUGCACAUGAGUGACAGACAAUGUCCUGCUAAUGGAAUUGGUAUGGAUAAGUCCAUGCUGCAGCACGUCCAUCACAGCAGAGGAUGCUGCUCUGCUCUCCUACUUGGGAGUUUUUGGAGUGUCAGAACUUCUCUCCAAAGGAGGAAGAAGGCUUUGAACUUCAGAAGUGUUCCUAGACAGAACAGAAGCCCACUGGUGGAAGGUCGUCUUGCUGCUGCAGAUAGAGAUCUAAGCCUGUGGAGGACAGCUCGGACAGUCAUCACUAACUCAAAGGCAGGACGCUGAUCAGAGGCUUUUGUUGACUCUGACCUUGUGGAAGACGGUGUUACAAGCACUCAGGCAGUUGCCGAGGCCCAUCCUGUUAAUGUGAACCAAAGGCAAGCUGCAGAGGAGCGGGAGAUCCCAUUCCCAAACCUUCUCCAGCUGUGCAUUGGGAUUUUCACCCACUCUGCCAGGCGAACCCAGCCUAGAAACAGAGCGAGGAGGCUUGGGGGAGA